CCUACGGGAGGCAGCAGUGGGGGAUAUUGCACAAUGGGGGGAACCCUGAUGCAGCGACGCCGCGUGGGUGAAGAAGCGCCUCGGCGCGUAAAGCCCUGUCAGCAGGGAAGAAAAUGACGGUACCUGAAGAAGAAGCCCCGGCUAACUACGUGCCAGCAGCCGCGGUAAUACGUAGGGGGCAAGCGUUAUCCGGAUUUACUGGGUGUAACGGGGGCGCAGACGGCGAUGCAAGCCAGGAGUGAAAGCCCGGGGCCCAACCCCGGGACUGCUCUUGGAACUGCGUGGCUGGAGUGCAGGAGGGGCAGGCGGAAUUCCUGGUGUAGCGGUGAAAUGCGUAGAUAUCAGGAAGAACACCGGUGGCGAAGGCAGCCUGCUGGACUGCAACUGACGUUGAGGCCCGAAAGCGUGGGGAGCAAACAGGAUUAGAUACCCGGGUAGUC
Molecule: ribosomal RNA, 440 nt
Filed under: uncultured bacterium
Lineage: Bacteria
Description: partial 16S ribosomal RNA
Rfam family: Bacterial small subunit ribosomal RNA
Source: RNAcentral